GAGCAAUUUAGCUGCUUGAGGAAGUUUUUUUAAGUGAUUAAAAUGCCAAAUUAUGGCCACAUCUGUAAAUGCCAUUAUUCCUGUCCUUUCUUUCCACUGAAUACUGUGACUGUUGUUGCUUUUUAACUUUGUGCUCCCAGAAUUCAGACAUAAAUUAGUGGUUGCCUAGUGAAUCUAGCCCAAUUCUCUUCAGAAUCUCAAGUUAUCUUUUUUGUAUUUCAGUUUCUUUUGAAUGUCCUCCAAUGUAACUUUCUCAAAUUCUAAUAUUUGUGUUUUCUUUCCUUCUCCUGUUAUUACAAACUUUGUACUUGGACAGUUUUGCUCUGUAAAGCAUUUCAGAUGCAACUUGUGUGAAAUGCAUUAUGCAAAAUAAAGUUUAUUGUAUUGUAUUCCCAGCCAAACAACAUGUAAUCUACAGUAAUAAAAAUAUAUCUCAUUUUGGGCUCAAAGCAUUAAUCCAGUAACUGAAAAGAGAAUACGAGUGGAGCAUACAAGCGAUGAAGAUCUUGAGACAGACUCAUUGGACUGAAUUUUCCCCUCCCCCCUUGAUGGAAGAAAUGUUCCAGAUUCUAAAUUGAGGACUUCACUAUUAAUGGCAUUAUUAACUGUGUUAUGAUUGUUAACAAAAUAUCCUGUAAGGUACACACUACAUAUUAAGGUUGGCCAUCAUUCCUGUUUUUUUUUUUAGCCAAGCUUAAAAUGAAGCUUUGUGUUUGAAGUUAUAACAAACAUAGAUGAAGUCGGUGGUUGUACAUUAUUUCAUUUAGAAAAUAUGAAAACUCAUUUUGUUUUGAAGAUAGGUAUUAAACUGAAAUAGCUAUUACGUUCUUGAAAAAUGGGGCAGGUGUGCCCUUCCCUUGACAUUCUUUUGUUGUUAAGUUCUUUAGAGUCUUGUUUUUUUUUUUCUUUUUAAUCCUGAGAGAUUAAACAGUAGACUUGUUAAGUAAAAAUAUGAAACUGUAACCAAAAUUUUAAAAUAAAGUUUUUUUUA
This 991-nucleotide long non-coding RNA is filed under the name Rattus norvegicus (Norway rat). Its description in RNAcentral is "long non-coding RNA NONRATT023355". The record is from RNAcentral. Lineage: Eukaryota; Metazoa; Chordata; Mammalia; Rodentia; Muridae.